This 293-nucleotide unclassified non-coding RNA is filed under the name uncultured Streptococcaceae bacterium. RNAcentral's name for it is "contains 16S-23S intergenic spacer region". Lineage: Bacteria; Bacillati; Bacillota; Bacilli; Lactobacillales; Streptococcaceae. The record is from RNAcentral.
UGGGACUACAGGGGUUUCUAAUCCUGUUUGCUCCCCACGCUUUCGAGCCUCAGCGUCAGUUACAAGCCAGAGAGCCGCUUUCGCCACCGGUGUUCCUCCAUAUAUCUACGCAUUUCACCGCUACACAUGGAAUUCCACUCUCCCCUCUUGCACUCAAGUUAAACAGUUUCCAAAGCCUACUAUGGUUAAGCCACAGCCUUUAACUUCAGACUUAUCUAACCGCCUGCGCUCGCUUUACGCCCAAUAAAUCCGGACAACGCUCGGGACCUACGUAUUACCGCGGCGGCUGGCAC